GGGGCUUGUAUCUUCUGGAUCUUUAUUGUAUACUUCAAAAAUGCAAAUACAUUCUACACGUGUGAAGUGGGAUUUUGAAAAAAUAAUGAGAUAAAUCAGAAGUUAGAUUUAGGACAGAGAGUUCACUGUUUUUCAUUGGUCAAGAAAAUCAAGUGCUACGAGACUAAGUGUUUUCCAAUUUAUAUCAAGUAUGACAGUGUGUUAAUACAAAAAUGUUGAGGGUGAAAAUGAAAUUUUGAAUCCAGAUGUGCUCCUUCGUCAUCCUGCUAGCAUAAAAGAAAGGAUGUGGUCUACCACAUGUGGCUCAAACACUUCCUCAUCUAGACAAGGUGGUAAGAGGCUGAGGAGAUACCUUAAAAAAACAAAACAAAAAACAACAACAACAAAAAGACCGAAACUAAAGCUGACAGAAUUAUCCUUGCACAAAGAUUGGUGGAGACAUAAUGUCAGUG
Molecule: long non-coding RNA, 452 nt
Filed under: Anser brachyrhynchus (Pink-footed goose)
Lineage: Eukaryota; Metazoa; Chordata; Aves; Anseriformes; Anatidae
Description: lncRNA (ENSABRG00000014695.1)
Source: RNAcentral